RNAcentral lists this ribosomal RNA (425 nucleotides) under uncultured bacterium. Its description in RNAcentral is "partial 16S ribosomal RNA". It matches the Rfam family "Bacterial small subunit ribosomal RNA", at positions 354 to 796 of the family's 1533-position model. The record is from RNAcentral.
GUGGGGAAUCUUGCGCAAUGGGCGAAAGCCUGACGCAGCCAUGCCGCGUGAAUGAUGAAGGUCUUAGGAUUGUAAAAUUCUUUCACCGGGGACGAUAAUGACGGUACCCGGAGAAGAAGCCCCGGCUAACUUCGUGCCAGCAGCCGCGGUAAUACGAAGGGGGCUAGCGUUGCUCGGAAUUACUGGGCGUAAAGGGCGCGUAGGCGGACAGUUUAGUCAGAGGUGAAAGCCCAGGGCUCAACCUUGGAAUUGCCUUUGAUACUGGCUGUCUCGAGUACGGGAGAGGUGAGUGGAACUCCGAGUGUAGAGGUGAAAUUCGUAGAUAUUCGGAAGAACACCAGUGGCGAAGGCGACUCACUGGCCCGUUACUGACGCUGAGGCGCGAAAGCGUGGGGAGCAAACAGGAUUAGAAACCCGUGUAGUCC